GUUUUCAGUACUGUUUUGUUCAUGCAGUACUUUCAAAGGCUCUGAUUAUCCUAUAUAUAGCAAUUAGCGGGAUCAAGGAGAUCGUACUAUGAUUGUGGGAUAAUUAUAAUCUUUGAAUGUAAUGUAUGCACUUCGGAACCACACCAUACGAAGUUCAUUGACAAAAGCCGUUUGUUGGUGAUUUGUGUUUAUGUUGGGUUAUUUGUGCGAACCAUUUUUUUAAACGAAUUGUGCGGGUUUGAGUAUCAUGGGUUAGGAGCUACUUAUAUUUCUCAGAACUCCAUACUGAGUGAUUAGUGUCACUGUCGUAACAAUAGGGUGACGACAGUCUUAUUUAAAUGCCUGUAUGUACGCAUACACUUUCGUGCCAUCGGACAGGAGAUGUUUCAGAUGCGAGGAACGAAUUUAGAAAUACAAGAGCAGACAGAGAUAUUUUAAGAGAAUUAAUACAGAAUUACAUAAGCGGAAAGAGAUGCACUAAAACAGCGACUGCAUGCUACGGUAUGUGUUAUCCAUGGAGCUGGCUUGAUUGAGAGAUUCUAACUGUGUCAUCCAAACGAAGCAGAACUGAUUCAUUUGCAGAAACAAGAAAAGAUUUUGCAUUUAGAACUGUGAUCAGUUGAGUACACUUUUAAUUUAAAAAUGGGUCUGAUAUUUGGUAAAGCUCAAGAUGAAGUGCAAGUUAAAAACAAAACUAUAGAAACUGCUACAGAACAGUGCCAUCUGGCAACUGUUGAACCAGAAAAGAAAGUAACCACAAGUAAACAGUAUUUAAACUUCACUUUUUUGAUUGAUCCAUCUACAGUAGAUUACAUACGCACCUCAAAAACAAUAUUCAUUUUACGCGGCCUUGCUGGCAGUGGAAAAUCAACAAUUGCAAAAGAAAUUGAAGAGACAUACAAAGGUGCUGUAAUAUGCUCCGCAGACCAAUUCUUCACAGUCAGAGGCAGGUACAUGUUUAAUCCAAAGAAGCUGAGAGAGGCUCAUGAAUAUUGUCAGGAGAAAGCGAGACGUGCUUGCAUAAGAAAUGAAAAUGUUAUAGUUAUUGAUAACACUAAUGUUCAGAAGUGGCCGAUGGAGUACUACUUUCUGUUAGCGUUUAAAACUUGCUAUACUGUUGUCCUAGUGGAACCGCAAACACCAUGGAAAGAUGAUCCCCUUUUUUUAUCAAUUAAGAAUCAACAUAAUGUACGAGAAGAGACUAUUCAAAAGAAAUUGGAACAGUGGGAAACAGUCUUGCCACUUUAUUUUGGCUGGUUUCUGAAUGAAUCUGAUUCUCGUAUGCUGUUACUUGUUGGUCAGGCAUAUCUUGAAGAGUGCCUGAAGUUACCUGAAUUUGAAGAAGAUUUCCAGAGUUUUAGCUCAUUGGAAGAUAAGUCAGAGAUGCUGGAGUACUACACUAAGAGGGGUAAGCUGUUACACUGCACGGCAAAGUUCUGUAAGUGUGGAGAAGUUCCAGAUGCUUUGGAAUAUUCGUCAAAACGUGAUGUUCUAGAAGCACAUGGAAAAUGUUAUGAUUUGAAUGUAGUUGGAUUUGUGAUGACUCCAAGGACAUUUGGAGCACGAGUGAAGCUUAAUUCUGAAGAGAUGAAACUAUGGGGAGGAGAACUUUCAUCAGCCACAUCUUCACCUCAGAAUUCACCUAGAAUGAAACAGAAAAGGAAUGCAGAUCUUUACAUAGAUGUCAGGGACAGAGAGAGCAAACAUGUACCAAAUUGUCAAGCAUCUCUUAUUUGUUUACCAGAGACUGAUAUUUCAUUGCAGCCAACCAAAGGAUUUGGUAGUAAAGCUCAUAUCACACUGGGAUCUGCAGAUGGGAUACAGCCGGUCACAACAGGUUUAGACCUACUUGAUGUUAUUGAUUGUGAAGCAUUGUCACAUGAAGGAGGAGUGGUAGUACAGCAAUUAUGCCAGAGAGCUUAUGUGAAGUUUGCAAAGUAGGAACGAGCAAUUAUUAGAAUUGAAGCUGUGAGAGCGAGUCGUGGUUCGUGCCUGGCUGACUAAGUCGGGCAAGAUCAAAGCUGAUUGACAAAGAGCUUGAGUGGCUACUCAAGGCCAGGUUUCAACACUGUACCAGAUGAAGACUCCGAGAUAGAAUAGUAACUUAUCACACAAACUAACUGCAAUUCAGAUUCUGAAUAAGAACAAUAUGGUGUCUGAACAGUCACUCUCUCCACUGGUGAUAUUUUUAUUGAGAGGGAAACAUGUAAAUGGAAUAAAAGGUGUGGUAAUGU
RNAcentral lists this unclassified non-coding RNA (2234 nucleotides) under Schistocerca americana (American grasshopper). RNAcentral describes it as "2',3'-cyclic-nucleotide 3'-phosphodiesterase-like, transcript variant X1". Lineage: Eukaryota; Metazoa; Arthropoda; Insecta; Orthoptera; Acrididae. The record is from RNAcentral.